UGGGGUUACGGGCCUGGCUCAAGGGCACCUCAGUGGAGGUAAUAAAGGAGGGAAAAGUGCUGCUCUUUCACUUUCCCCACCCAGAUUUGUUUUUUAUCCUGUCAGUUUUGGGAUUGAACCGACAACCUCCUGGUCACAAGCUUGUUUCUUUAACCUUUAGGCCAC
Molecule: long non-coding RNA, 165 nt
Organism: Sander lucioperca (pikeperch)
Lineage: Eukaryota; Metazoa; Chordata; Actinopteri; Perciformes; Percidae
Exons: 3
Source: RefSeq, a predicted model, not a curated record